Non-coding RNA from Mycena vulgaris, 104 nucleotides. Lineage: Eukaryota; Fungi; Basidiomycota; Agaricomycetes; Agaricales; Mycenaceae. The record is from the annotation of a GenBank genome assembly.
GUCUGCCUGGCUCAGUUGGUUAGAGCGCCAGUCUCAUAUUCGCAUGUGAGUGACCGUGUGGUCAUCCAAUCUGGAGGUCGAGAGUUCGAUCCUCUCGGCGGACA